This 68-nucleotide non-coding RNA is filed under the name unclassified sequences. The record is from Rfam.
UAUUUUUGCACCCGAAUUAUGAUACACAUAAUUCAUACAUAAAAAUCAUUUACAAAAAUAUUAGCAUG